Molecule: long non-coding RNA, 7702 nt
Filed under: Capsicum annuum
Lineage: Eukaryota; Viridiplantae; Streptophyta; Magnoliopsida; Solanales; Solanaceae
Description: long non-coding RNA (CANN_LNC000600)
Source: RNAcentral
CCGGUUUGAGCACUAAUUUGGUAGUUCACAAGUUGCCAAUUGAUCAUGUUUUUCCUCCUGUCAAGCAAAAGAUAAGAAAGCUCAAAACUGAUAUGAGUGUAAAGAUAAAAGAGAAAAUCAUGAAGCAACUCGAGGCUAAAGUCAUUCAAGUGGCCCAAUAUACUACUUGGUUAGCAAAUACUGUCCCUGUUCCAAAGAAGGAUGGCAAAGUUUGGAUGUGUGUUGAUUAUCGUCAUAUAAAUAAAGCAAGUUUGAAAGAUAAUUUUCCACUUCUCAAUAUCCAUAUUUUGUUGGAUAACUAUGCUAAACAUGAUCUGGCUUCUUUUGUGGAUUGUUAUGCGAGGUAUCACUAGAUCAUUAUGGAUCCAGAAGAUGCAGAAAAGACAUUAUUUAUUACUCCAUGGGGGACAUAUUGUUAUCAAGUCAUGCCUUUCGGACUAAAGAAUACUGGGGCAACUUAUAUGAGGGCAAUGACCACAAUGUUUCAUGAUAUGAUGCACAAAGAGAUUGAAGUUCAUGUGGAUAACGUGAUCAUUAAGUCAAGAGAGCAGUCUAACCAAGUCAAAGAUCUGAGAAAAAUCUUUGAAAGGCUUCGAAGGUAUGAUGUCAAACUUAACCCAGCAAAAUGUGUAUUCAGAGUUUCAUCAGGAAAACUUUUGGGUUUAUAGUCAGUCGACGUGGUAUUGAGUUAGAUCCUUCAAAAAUAAAAGCUAUCCAAGAUUUACCUCCACCAAAAAAUAACACGGAGGUGAUGAGUUUACUUGGAAGGUUGAAUUAUAUCAGCAGAUUCAUUGCUCAGCUUACGACAACCUGCGAUCCAAUAUUCAAGUUGUUGAAGAAGAAUGUUAAAGUUGAAUGGACUGAAGAAUGUCAAGAGGCAUUUGAUAGAAUUAAGAGACACUUGUCGAAUCCGCCUAUUUUGGUUCCUCCAGAGCCAGGCAGACCCUUGAUAUUGUACAUGUCUAUUUUAGAUAAUUCUUUUGGCUGUGUAUUGGGUUAACAUGAUGUCACGGGAAGAAAAAGUCAUCUACUACCUCAACAAAAAGUUUACCACUUAUGAGGCUAAGUACACUAUUCUUGAGAAGACGUGCUAUGCCUUAACUUGGGUAGCCCAAAAGCUGAAAUAUUACUUAUCAUCUUAUACUACUUACCUCAUCUCUAGUAUGGAUCCUUUAAAGUAUAUUUUUUAGAAGCCUAUGCCCACAGGGGCAGACUCGCGAGAUGGCAGAUAUUGCUCACAGAGUUUGAUAUUGUUUAUGUGACACGAACUGCAAUGAAAGCUCAAGCCUUGGCAGAUCAUUUGGCUGAAAAUCCUAUUGAUGAGGAGUAUGAGCCAUUAAAGACUUAUUUUUUAGAUAAAGAGGUAUUGUAUAUUGAUGAGUUUAUUUCUAACGAUUGCCAUUCGAGCUGAAAGUUGUUCUUUGAUGGAGAUGCUAAUAUAAAAGGAGUGGGGAUAGGAGCGGUUUUUAUUUCUGAAUCAGGACAAUAUUAUCCUAUAACAGCCCAACUUUGAUUCUACUGUACCAAUAAUAUGGAAGAAUAUGAAGCUUGCAUCCUGGGAUAGAGAUUAGCUAUUGACAUGGGGGUCCAAGAAUUGUUGGUAUUAGGAGAUUCAGAUUUAUUAAUCCACCAAAUCCAAGGAGAUUAGGAGACUCGUGAUUCGAAACUCCUAUCAUGUAGAGGUUGUUUGCAGGAUAUUUGUCAACAAUUUAUAUUAGAGAAGUUCAAACAUAUUCAUCGAGCUCAUAAUAAGAUUGCUGAUGCUUUGGCGAUCUUAUCUUCAAUGCUUCAACAUCCCAACAAAACUUAUAUUGACCCUUUGCAUAUACAGAUUUAUGAUCAACAUGCAUAUUACAAUGUGGUUGAAGAAGAACUUGAUGGGGAGCCGUGGUUCUAUGAUAUUAAAGAAUAUAUUCAGACUGAGAAAUAUCCUGUAUAUACUGAUGGUAAUCAAAAGAGAACCAUUCGACGUUUGUCUAGUGGAUUUUUCUUAAGUGGAGGAAUCUUGUAUAAGAGUACUCCUGAUUUGGGACUUUUGAGGUGUAUAGAUGCUAAACAAGCUUCAAAAAUUAUGACUGAAGUAUAUUCUGGAAUUUGUGGACCACACAUGUGUGGGUAUGUUUUGGCAAAGAAAAUACUCCGAGCAGAUUAUUAUUGGCUCACCAUGGAACGAGAUUCUAUCAAUUUCAUUCGUAAAUGUCAUGAAUGCCAGUGACCAAAAAAGUAGUGGUUGAUGGCCCCUCCUUCUGACUUGCAUACAAUGACUACUCCAUGGCCUUUUGCAGCUUAGGGAAUGGAUGUAAUUGGACCAAUUGAACCAAAGGCCUCUAAUGGACAUAGGUUCAUCUUGGUAUCCAUUGAUUAUUUCACAAAGUGGGUGGAAGCAACGACUUUCAAGUCAGUGACCAAAAAAAUAGUGGUUGAUUUUAUUCACUCCAACAUCAUUUGUCGGUUUGGCAUUCCAAAGAUAAUUGUCACAGAUAAUGCUAUGAAUCUCAAUAUCCAUCUGAUGCAAGAAGCGUGCCGACAAUUUAAAAUUAUGCAUCGAAAUUCAACUCCUUAUCGUCCAAAGGCGAAUGGAGCUGUAAAAGCUGUCAACAAGAACUUAAAGAAAAUACUCCGUAAGAUGGUACAGGGUUCCUGACAAUGGCAUGAAAAGUUACCUUUUGCUCAGUUGGGUUAUCGUACUAUAGUUCGGACUUCAAUUGGUGCAACUCUUUACUUGUUAGUGUACGGAACUGAAGCAGUUAUACUUGCAGAAAUUGAAAUUCCAUCUCUUUGAGUAGUUGUAGAAGCUGAAAUUGAUGAUGACCAAUGGGUCAAGACUCAUUUGGAGUAAUUAAGCUUGAUUGAUGGUAAAAUAUUAACAUCAAUAUGUCAUGGAAAACUAUAUCAGAAGAGAAUGGCACGAGGAUAUAACAAAAAGGUACGUCACAAACAUUUUAAAGUUGGUCAGUUAGUACUAAGACGCAUCCUACCCCAUCAGAUUGAAGCCAAAGGCAAUUUUUCUCCUAAUUGGCAUGGGCCAUUCAUGGUGAAGAAAGUGUUACCUAAUGGCCGUUAUAUCUGACUGAUGUAGAAGGCAAAAUGGAAGGAAUGUCGGUCAAUGCUGAUGCAGUUAAAAGAUAUUAUGUAUGAUAUUCAUGUACAAUUAUGUUAUGUAUGUUUUGUACUUACAUUUUUAAAGAUUUUAAAUGAUGAAAGCAUUUUGUUCUACUAUCUGAAUAAUAUAUCAACCUUUGCUUACCCCUUUGAGCUUUUAUUUUUCUUUAUACCCCUCUUUUGGAAUCAAAUUAAAGUCAGAAAAAAAGUUUAAAAAAAAAGAAAAAAAGAAAAAAAAAUCAAUCAAAAAUUCAAAAUCAAACAAAAGAAUGAUGUUUCUUGAACUACGUUUGACCUGAUUCUUCCUAUGACAAGAUACGUAGGCAUCCCUACUCCGGGGUUCGGUCUAACCAGAAGAAAAUUUAAAUUACCCAGAAUAAAUGAAACUGGGGCAAAAAAAAAAUUUCUUAAAAUAAUCAAUUCCAAAAGUUGUAUGUUUCACCCAAUGUUAUAUAAAUUUUUUGAGCCUCAUGCUGACCUUUCUUUCUAACCCUAUCCAAAAUCCAAGUUACAACCAAAGAAAGACCUGCGGAUCAAUCUUUGCGAAUGUCAAGGCUAAAAAUGUUAUGAGUGCAUGAUAUUUCAUAUUUUGGGUGUUUAUCUACAAAAAAAAAAUGAAAAUGAGAGAGUCUUAUUGGUGAAAACCCUUUCGGGCACCAUAAGACGACUGUGAGCUAAGGCAAAAAUGAAAAGGAGAUAGGCUCGUUGGCAAAAAUCCAUUGAGGUGACACUAGCCUAAGAAAUAUUGUUAUCAAGAAAGAACAAGUUCGAGAUUGACUUAAUUUUAAGCUCAAUAAGUGGACAAAAGUUGUAAUGAUUGGUGUGGGUAAAUAUGGUUGUUUGAUUCAAAUGCAUGUCAUAAUCACUAGAAUCGAUUUUCAUAUUCAGAUAAGUUUUCUCUUUGUUUUGAAAAAGAGAUGCCUACAAUCUUUUUCUUUUUAUUUUAUUUUAAUUUUUGAUUUUUGUUUCCUUGUCAUCAAACAAAAAAAUUUUACUGUCUUUUGAGUCAAAUUCACGUCAGGUCGAGUGAGAAAGAACUCCAAACUUGCUACCAACUCCUUUCAGAGUACAAAGCAAGACAAAGGGCCGAUGCACAGAGACAACGUUUCAAAGUAAAAGUAAGAUACUCAAGAUGAUUGUGAUUUGACCAUUUUAAACUCGUGAAAAUCUAAGGGAUGUAUUGAGGUUAAACUCAGAAGCAUCAUACAAUGGAAAUAUGAUUUGAUUUGAUUUGAGGAACUCAGUAGUCAGAAUUUUGAGUCAGAAGUACGUCAUUCAAUGAAUAUUAUCAUGGUUUAGAGUAGAGUUAAGCAUGGCAAGUGCGAGAGCGACUACUUCAAAAGCCAAAUGCCACAAACCAACCACCACAUGUUUUAAAACUCACAAUUUUUCUUUGUUUGGAACAAAGAUGAAAUAAUUAUUUUCAGAUAAAAGAUGCGAUUUCAAACUUCACUCAAUCUAAGAAGCAUGGUUACAACAUCUGAUGCUGGAUCUCGGUCAUGGUAAACUUUAUACUUUGCGAGAUAUAUUAAGAUCCAGUGACACAUAAAUUUUUCCAGUACAAACUGGGGCAAAAAUUUUAUGUGUGUUGUAUGAAAUUUAUUUUUUGCUCAGGACCUUCCUGAAGAAUAGGAAUUUAUUUUUGCUCAGGACCCUCCUGAAGAAUGAGAAUUUACUUUUUACUCAGGACCAUCUUGAAGAAUGGGAUGUUAUUUUUCUGUUUCACCUUUUAUUUUGAGUUCAGGAACAUAUUUGAAAAUCAAAAAUUGCAAGUUCAGGAGACCGCCUGAAGAACAGGGUGAAGAAAUUGCAAGUCAGGAGCCCGCCUGAAGAACAGGGUGAAGAAAUAGCAAGUCCAGGAGCCUGCCUGAAGAACAGGGUGAAGAAAUAGUAAAUCCAGGAGCCCGCCUGAAGAACAGGGUAAAGAAAUUGGAAGUCAGGAGCCCGCCUGAAGAACAGGGUGAAGAAAUAGCAAGUCCAGGAGCCCACCUGAAGAACAGGGCGAAGAAAUUGCAAAUCCAGGAGCCCGCCUGAAAAACAGGGUGAAGAAAUUGAAAGUCAGGAGCCCGCCUGAAUAACAGGGUGAAAAAAUAACAAGUCAGAGAUCCAUUUGAAGAACAGAAUGAAUUUUCAAGUUCAAGGCAUCAAGAUUUGAAUCGAGGUACUAGAGAUUGUAAUUUUCAUUUCAUUUUUUUUAUUUUUCUUAGUCAUUUGAAUGUAAAAGGCAGAAGUUGUUAACCGAAAUCUUGACGAAAUCUCACUCGACUCUAACUUUUUCUCUCACCAAAUUACCUUUGAACUACUCGUGACCUGAUUCUCUUAUAACCCGGGAUAGGUAGGACGUCCAAAAACAGGAUUCGGUCACAUUUUUUCUUUUAUUUUUAUUUUUAUUUUUAUCUUUACCUUCCAAAUAAUUGGAGGUUCAAAAAUCAUAUUUUGUCUACUUCUUUGUAUGAAAAAUCUUCGAAAUUUCACACAAAGAGGGGCAAAAAUGUAGACACGUGAUUUUUGAUCCUUAUCAAAUUUUAACUUAUUUUUAUAUUAAAUAUUUAUAUUUGGCAUAGUAUUAUUUAAUUUCUUAUUUUAUUCUUAUAAAAUUUUAGUUAAAAAAAUAAUAAUUAAAUAAAUUUAAUUUUUGAUGUAAAUUUUUAUUUUUACUUUUUAUCUUAAUUUUAAAAAAAAAUAUAAGAUACAUAUAUAUAUAUAUAUAUAUAUAUAUAUAUAUAUUAUUCAUUCUAAAUUUCAAUAAAUAAAUUAGUAGUUUAAUACUAUUUUAUUGUAUUUAUUUUUUUCUAUUUACAAUUUGUUAUUAUGUUUUGUUAAAUAUAAAAUUAAUUACUAUUUUAUUUAUUAUUGUUAUUUUUGUCUAUUUAUAAAUUCUUAUGAUGUUUUGUUAAAUAUAAAAUUAACAAUUAUUUUAUUUAUUAUUAUUAUUAUUUCAUUAUUUAUUAUUAUUAAUAUAUUUAUUUAUUAUUAUUAUUUUCUAUUUAAAAAAUAAUUAAUUAAUUAAUUUAAAUUUCAAAUAUUCCCUUCCCCUUAUUUGUUGAUAAGGAUUACCCUAAAAACAACCGUUCCUCCCAAAAUUUCCUCUCCAUCAGUGAGAAAGAAAAUCAAAAUACAGAGAAAAAAAAGUAAAAAAUCAUAGAAGAGAGAAAAAUAUCAGACAAAAAAGAGAAAAGAAGGAAGUUGAAGGUCCCGUUGAAGGUUCUGGUGACAGAUUUCUUUGUUCAUUAGUCCAUUCAAUUUAUUAUAGGUUUUUUAUUCGAUCCUGUAUCACUCACGUUAUGAAUUUACUUAUAAAUGCAUGAAUAAAGAUGUUUAAGUUUCUUUAUGUAUUAUUUAAUAAACAUAGUUAAUUGAUUAUGCGAGUUACUUAUUAUUGCAUGUUAUUUAAUUAAGUUAUAACAUAUUUAUUUAUGGUUUUUUGAGUGUUAAAAAUCUGUGUGUUAAUUCUGUUAAAGUUAAAAAUUUGAACCGAAAAGAGAAAUAGAUGAAAAGAAAAUUGACAGGCUUUUUGAUGUACACAUGAUCACACACACUAUUUUUCAACUUACAUACACUACAGAUUUCAUACAUCAACAUUUGUAUUCAUUGAAAAAUAGACGUACAAUAAUACACACAAGGUAUAUAAAAAUUGUGAGAAAAUCUGGAUGAAAGGAGAGAAAAACUAGUAAAAUUUGGAUGAAUUAGAUAGCAUAAGAAAGAUAUAGAUCGGAGGAGAUGCCGGUAAGAAGAUAUUUUCUAGUGAAAUCCUCAUUGGAUUCGUUGCCGGAAAACACUUACAUUCACUGUUUCGUCACAGUUAAGGCGAUUAGUCGCUGGAAAAACCCAAACCAGUGAUGCCGUCUCUCUUUCUUCCUUUUUCGGCUACCACUAGUACCGCCGAUGCUGCUUCUCUUUCUUUUUUCCCCCUCCCCGUCAGAAAGUUCAAAAAACAUUGCUGAAGCCGCUAGCGCCGCCAGCGACGCCGUCAACGGCAAAAACGCCGACUAAAUUGCUAGCCAUCAUCCUUACUCGCAGAUCUGGCCGAUCCCUCACCAUAUUUGUACCACUGGCCGACAAACCUACAGCCCGCAUACAUCGAUCUACGCACAAACCCACCGAAAAACACAUACGCACCUUGCACGCACACCUGCCUGCGACGACCACAUUGCCGGAAAAAUCCCCACUGUCGCCAUACCAUUUAAAGGCUAGAUCUAGCCAGAAUUAAGAGUUUCAAUGGCUUUUUGAAGGAUUGGGUUCCGUUAUAUUUUUUAUAUCUGUAUGUGUUAAUUUUUAUACAAGUUUGUUUAGAAUAAUUUAACAUUUGAUGAUAGUUAACUUUAAAUAUUUAAGAAAUAAUGAAGUAUAUUUGAUUAAACAAAAAUGACAAUAUGCAGAUUUAAAAGUGCAUUUUAAUUACUGUUUAACUUAUUUUCUUGGAUUUUAUAAAUUAAAAUCUCAAAAAAAAAAUAUUAGUUUAAGAUCAAAAAGAUAAUAUGUAAUUUCGGAUGAGAUUUUUAUAAUGUUUAAUUAAUUUUAUUUAAAUUAUUUUUGAAUAUAAAGUAUUUGAUAGUUUUCUCCUUCAUGACAAGUCCGAUUGUAAAACAAUUUAACUAUG